RNAcentral lists this ribosomal RNA (468 nucleotides) under uncultured bacterium. RNAcentral describes it as "partial 16S ribosomal RNA". It matches the Rfam family "Bacterial small subunit ribosomal RNA", at positions 28 to 507 of the family's 1533-position model. The record is from RNAcentral.
GACGAACGCUGGCGGCGUGCUUAACACAUGCAAGUCGAACGGAAAGGCCCUGCUUUUGUGGGGUGCUCGAGUGGCGAACGGGUGAGUAACACGUGAGUAACCUGCCCUUGACUUUGGGAUAACUUCAGGAAACUGGGGCUAAUACCGGAUAGGAGCUCCUGCUGCAGGGUGGGGGUUGGAAAGUUUCGGCGGUGGGGGAUGGACUCGCGGCUUAUCAGCUUGUUGGUGGGGUAGGGGCUUACCAAGGCUUUGACGGAUAGCCGGCCUGGGAGGGUGAACGGCCACAUUGGGACUGAGAUACGGCCCAGACUCCUACGGGAGGCAGCAGUGGCGAAUAUGGCCCAAUGGGCGGAAGCCUGAUACAGCAACGUCGCGUGCGUGAUGCCGGCCUUCGGGGUGUAAACCGCUUUCGCCUGUGACGAAGCGGGAGUGACGGUAAUGGGUAAAGAAGCACCGGCUAACUACGUG